This 1848-nucleotide long non-coding RNA is filed under the name Mus musculus (house mouse). RNAcentral's name for it is "predicted gene 14643". Lineage: Eukaryota; Metazoa; Chordata; Mammalia; Rodentia; Muridae. The record is from RNAcentral.
AGAAUAAUGUUUGGCUGUAGAUAUCUAAAUUUGUUCCCAUCUGCUGCAUAAGGAAGCUUCUCUGAUGAUGCCUGAACAAAGCACUGAUCUACACUAAAUUCUUUGUAAAGUGAGGACUUCUGCCACAUUUUCCAGGCACUGUGCCGCUCUGACCCUGUAACAGAAGAAAGUGACCAUGCACUGAAGCCUCAGAAAUGUGAGGCAAAAUAAAUUUUUCUUCAUAUUAACUGCUUGAAUGAUUGAAGUUCAUGCUGCUCAUAUACACAUUGAGGACUAGGAUGGUUCGGGAACUUAUACUGCUAAGAACCAGACAUUUGUUAAUGCAGACACUGAGCCACCAACCAGGCAGCAUAGACCAGUUCAUAUGAGGCCCCCAACACAUAUGCAGCAGAGGACUUCCUGGAUUGGACUCAGAGAAUGGAUACCUAACCCUGGAGAGACUUGAGGCCCCAGAGAGUUUUGUGUAUGUCCUAAAAAGAGGAACUAUUCUAAAAGUAAUGAGUCUGACAUUGCCAGAUGCUAUUCUAACCAAGGAGUAAUGAAGUGAAACAGGCAAAGAAGAUGCAGAGCAUAAAGAUAAACAUUACCACCUAGGCACUUCUCAUUUCUUCAUCUGUAUGCUGUGAUGCAUAUCCACUCUAAGGUAAUGAGGCAAGCAGUUAUGAUGCUUCACAUGUGCUCUGGCCCAAAGUAGAGGAGGCAGAAAACCAAACACUAAAGGACUGAAAUUAAAAUAAGGUCACUGUUACAAAGGUGUAAACUUGUGGGAAGGACAUCUGCUUGGAGGAAGAAGCCCCAGGAGGAUAUGCUAUGCACAUAUAAUCAACCACCUAGGAAGAUAUUUUUAUUCUCUGGACUCAUUUCAAAUCGGUUAAGCCAUUCAGUCCUUACAUGCAAUUACAGACUUGAUACAAUGAUGCUUAUCUACCAGUUCUGCAAAUGACAAACCUUGGCAUUUUUCAUGUGUUUCUAAUUCUGUAGACAGGUAGGAUGUUUAGUGAAUCCCAGUUACUUUUAAGUGUAAUAAAAAUUUGUUAAUAGUAGAAGUAUAGCAUCUACAUUUGAAAACACUAAGUACCAUAGAAUCUCAUUCUCAGUAAUAGAUAAUUUAAUAUUCUAUAAAUCAAUGUAUUAAAGUCUCAUACUCAAUGAUAGGAAAAUAAGUUAAGUUUGUUUGCAUUUAUUUAUUCUAUUUUUUCUUUUGUUUUUUUGAGAUUAUAAUAUAAUUAUAUUUUUGCUUCCCUUUCCUUCUUCCAAACCCUCCUUGCUCUCUUGCAAAUUCAUGGGCCUUUUUUUAUUGUUUGUUUGUUGUAUGUUAUUAGAUGUUAUUAUGAUAGAUGUUUUUAGGGCUGAUCUGUUUUUUCUAUAUAUGUGUUUUGCAUAUAUGUAUUUAUGUGUGUGUGUGUAUGUGUGUGUGUGUGAGUGUGUGUGUGUGUUUCACACAUGUACCUGGUGUUGACGGGAGGUAGAUUAUAUCCUGGAAGUGGAGUUAAAAAUGACUGAGAGUCUUCACAUAGAUACUGGGAACUAACCCCAGAUCCUCCACAGGAUUGGCAAGUACUUAUAACUGCAGCACCACCUCUCAUGUCACAUGAAUUAUAUUUUAUUAAAAUUAAAGAUGUCUAUUCUCUAAGAAGAUAUGUAACAGGGAGUGAAACAAAUACUGAACAUGUAAUAAAAGUAUACAAAAUAAAGUUAAAACCCAACACUAAGAAGGCAAAACUCAAUUUUAAAUUGUCAAGCAAUCUAAAAAUAUCAAAUGCUAGUUGUAAUGCAUUACUAAAGCUAAAAUGUAUAGUAAAUAUUCCAUUCUUCUAUAAACAUUUUAGUAAACGAAUUGUUGAAUCU